AAUAGAUACCCCGGUAGUCCUGGCCCUAAACGAUGAAUGCUUGGUGUGGCGGGUAUCGAUCCCUGCCGUGCCGAAGUUAACGCGAUAAGCAUUCCGCCUGGGGAGUACGGCCGCAAGGCUGAAACUCAAAGGAAUUGACGGGGGCCCGCACAAGCGGUGGAGCAUGUGGUUCAAUUCGACGCAACGCGAAGAACCUUACCUGGGCUCGAAAUGCAGAUGACCAUCGGCGAAAGUCGACUUCCGCAAGGACAACUGUAUAGGUGCUGCAUGGCUGUCGUCAGCUCGUGUCGUGAGAUGUUGGGUUAAGUCCCGCAACGAGCGCAACCCUUGUUCUCUGUUGCCAUCAGGUCAAGCUGGGCACUCUGAGGAGACUGCCGGUGACAAACCGGAGGAAGUGGGGAUGACGUCAAGUCAGCAUGGCCUUUAUGUCCAGGGCUACACACGUGCUACAAUGGCCGGUACAAAGCGCUGCAAGCCCGCAGGGUAAGCCAAUCGCAUAAAGCCGGUCU
RNAcentral lists this ribosomal RNA (509 nucleotides) under uncultured bacterium. Its description in RNAcentral is "bacterial SSU rRNA". It matches the Rfam family "Bacterial small subunit ribosomal RNA", at positions 777 to 1288 of the family's 1533-position model. The record is from RNAcentral.